GUAGGGAAUAUUGCGCAAUGGGGGAAACCCUGACGCAGCGACGCCGCGUGAGUGAUGAAGGCCUUCGGGUCGUAAAGCUCUGUUGCAGGGGAAUAAAAAAAUGAAGGUACCCUGUGAGGAAGGAUCGGCUAACUUCGUGCCAGCAGCCGCGGUAAGACGAGGGAUCCUAGCGUUGCUCGGAAUCAUUGGGCGUAAAGAGGGCGUAGGUGGCUUGGUAAGUCAGGUGUGAAAGCCCAGGGCUCAACCCUGGAAGUGCAUUUGAUACUGCUGGGCUUGAGUGUCGGAGAGGUUACCGGAAUACCUGGUGUAGUGGUGAAAUACGUAGAUAUCAGGUGGAACACCGGAGGCGAAGGCGGGUAACUGGACGAACACUGACACUGAGGCCCGAAAGCGUGGGGAUCAAACAGGAUUAGAAACCCUUGUAGUCC
RNAcentral lists this ribosomal RNA (428 nucleotides) under uncultured bacterium. RNAcentral describes it as "partial 16S ribosomal RNA". It matches the Rfam family "Bacterial small subunit ribosomal RNA", at positions 354 to 796 of the family's 1533-position model. The record is from RNAcentral.